This is an unclassified non-coding RNA of Cercocebus atys (sooty mangabey), 289 nucleotides long. It matches the Rfam family "Metazoan signal recognition particle RNA". Rfam says of the family: The signal recognition particle (SRP) is a universally conserved ribonucleoprotein. It is involved in the co-translational targeting of proteins to membranes. The record is from Ensembl. NCBI's taxonomy places the organism in Eukaryota, Metazoa, Chordata, Mammalia, Primates, Cercopithecidae.
GCUGGGCAUGGUGGUUCAUGCCUGUAAUCCCAAAACUUUGGGAAGCUGAGGUGGGAGGAUUGCUUGAGCCCAGGAGUUCAAGACUGGCCUGGGCAACAUGGCAAGACUCUGUCUCUACAAAAAUACAAAACUUAGCCAGGUGUGGUGGCACGCACCUGUGAUUCCAAUUACUUGGGAGGCUGAGGCAGGAGAAUAGCUUGAGCCCCAGAGGUGGAGGCUGCAGUGAACCGUGAUUUUGUGAUUGUGCCAGUACACUCCAGCCUGGGCAACGCAGCAAGACCCUGUCUCA